UGUGUUUUCCACUGGUCUUAGGUGACCCCUGUAAAAGGGUCGUUCAACCCCGAAGUGGUCGAGACCUACAGGUUGAGAAACACUGAAUUAAGGGAAUGAUUUUUGAACAAGAUCAGCGGGCAUGCUGAAGGACAUGCUAAAAGGCACGCCAUGCUUCCAGAAUUCAGGUUGAAGGCAGAGGAGGACAAACAGCAGGACCACGUGAUUGCUAUCAGGUCCCACCCCCACCGCUAACCCUAUUCCCGCCCAAUGCUCUUGGAAGAGGCCCUCUCCAGUCUCUGUAGGGGAUGGAAGGCCAAGAGGAGGCUCACCUGCCUCUGUACAAAGUCCAGGGGGCCCUGCCCACUCUGGCACUGGGCCCCACCCCCACCGCAGAGUUGGUGGGCACCGCCACAACCCAACCUGCCACAGCCUCUUGGAGAUGGUGACAAGAACCAAACCUUCCCCGACUCUCCCCUCCCCUUUCCUGCUUUUAUUAUUUUUCUUUUCCAUAAAGAUUAGCCUCUGCUGCUUCUCUAUCAAGGCCCAGAUAAACAUGUGGUCCCGAGGCUGAGAAACGCCAGGCCUGAAGGCCCCGCAACCCCCACCCUGCAGCAUAAACCCAGGGCUUUUAAGCAAGGAAUGGUUUUCAGCAAAUCUCCCACUAUCAGCAGAAACCUUUGAAAGAGUUUGUUUAAAGGCCAGAGAGACAAACAGCAAGGAGGAGUGUUUGUUUAAGAGGCAUGCUCUGUGUGGCCACUCCGGGGCCAGGAUUUACCAUCUGUGGGGAGGAGAGCCACUUGGAGGCUAGGGUGGGGGCCUCCCAGGGGCACCCUUGGACUACCGGGUGUGGACUCCCGCCCAGGCAGCAAGCUCUGAAGACAGGGAGACGGGCAACUCCUUACACACUUCCAAUGUGAAGACACCCCAUGAGUCUAGAUCAGGAGCAGCACAGGCCAUGUGACAAGUCCUCAGGUGGGACCAGGAAUCUCCUCUGCCAUCUUGGCUCUGCCUUUUGCUAACCAGGUUGGCCUCGAUCUUUCUGCACACCAAGGAUCAGAUCCCCUCCCCCACCAUGGACCAGCGGGACUGGAGAUGGACUUAAGAUGAACCUGGCUGGGUAAGUGAGAAACAGCUGAAGAACUCUUAAGCAUACCGACGCCCUCACAGGUGAGAUAAAAGUGCAGCACACCUGCCCAUCACCCACAGUCCACAAGAGAUACCACCUUCCCUCCAGUUCCCUCCACCCAAGGACCCAAGGAUGGCAGAAGAAAAAAAAAAUGAUCGCAACCUCCCAGGUCUAGCACUGGAGUUUCCCUUCUAUCCCAGGGAGACCCCGGCGAGAACUGGGGAGUCACUUCACCCACAACAAACAGUUAAAAGGAAGAAAGCGGGUCUGGCGAUAUCAAUGCACUUUGAUAACAAUAAACCCUGCUUUUAAUUUAUGCUAAUGUGUAGGGCUGUGGUGACAGUAAGAACUAAAUUACAGAGUGGCUUUCGAGCCGGUAAUUAUCCCUCCAUUUUUCACCGCUCUGGAAGAUGGACACACAAUUAUGCUCUCUUGCUGUAUAUUAAUACAGAUUCUUGACAUCUUCAGCAGACCCGGAGCUGUCAUCCAGCUUUUUGUCUCCUUUAAUUGAAAAUUAAUGGUUACUGGGUUGCCACGGAAACAGAGGCCACGGACGCCAAUGGCGCUCACGUCUCACUGAGGGACUGGCGGCAUAGGGAGUCCGGAAUGACCUUGAAAGUUAAAAGAAAAAAAAAAAACUUAAAAAAAAAAAAAGAAAGAAAAAGAAAGGGGAGAGGAGGGGAGAUGAGGACAGGAGGGUGGGCGGCUGUGGGUCAGAGCGGGGAGAGAAGAGAAGGCAAGAAUAGGGAGAGAGAAGAGAUGCACGAAAAAAAUUACAGAAAAAACACCCCAGAAUUGGGAAUACGACAAGCACUGGACAGAAAGAAAUCAAAUUAGCAAGUUUCGUUUCUCCAGUCUGCUUUAUUUUGCUGUUUUUGACUCUGGCUCUCUUCUACCCCAGGCCGGAGGCCGGUCUUGAACUUCUGACCUUCUUGCCUCCAGAGCCCUCCCAGUGGAUGCUGUUUUUAUAGGUGUAUGCCAUCAAGCCUGGCUUAGGGAGUCCUGGGGAUUGAACCCGGGGCUUUGUGCUUGCUAGGAAGCAUGCAAGCACUGAGCCACAUCCUCAACCGGAUUCCCUCCUCUUUACCCCAGGAGACCAUUGAAAGGCUGGAGACAGACUGACCUUCUCUUCCAAUCCUGGGAUCUAAUCUGCUAGAGCUUCCUGGAAGAGACAAAGUGUCUUAGGUGUGGUGGACCGCAGGGGGUGGAACAGUGGGUGAGGAGUGCUGGCAGGGGGUGGGGGGUGGGAAGCAUUACUCCAGGAGCCAAGUUGGGUGAUGCUGUUAAAAACAGGAUCAGAGAGAAUAUUGCUUCUUCAGGAGCCAGGAAGUCACACAACUGGGACCAGUGAAAGGGCCCUGUGGACUGGGGCCUCAGCUUUAAAAUUUAACAAAAGAACCAGAGAGAGAGUUAGGGAUGGAGGUCUGAGGAGGGAAGAGCCUAGGCUGGGAGGACAAGCCAGGUUUACCUCUGAAGACUAGACAUGGGGUGGACUGCUCAGGGAAUCUGGAGUCUAGUAGUUUUGAGGCUAGGAAUAUCUGUAAGAGAGGUUGCAGGCUCGGCACAGGGCCAGUGAAGACCCCUGAGUGUUCUAACAGGAAAGCCAGGCUCAUUGCUUGUCAGGCAGGGCAUCUGGUCCAGGACACUCAAUUCACUAGUUUCUAGUCGCCCACAGGGAACCGGGGCCAAGCUCAGCUGCCCAGUCCUGAGUAGGUCAGAGCUGGCCUGCUCCAGUGGGAAAUGGGAGCAGAUGGACACACAAGCAAACAACCACUGGACAAUCGGCCCCCUCAACAGUCUCUCUCUAAAGAUGCCCCUUGCCAUGGUGUUUAUCAUCAUUUUAAAAAAUCCAGAGACAAUCUGUAUAACCAACCACUAGAUGGAUGAGACGAUUCCUAGUAAACCAAAAGGUAGGAUCACUCUUCUUUUAAAAACAUUUUUAAAAUGUGUAUUUGUUUCUGUAUGUAUGAGUGUGUGCAGUGUGUACCCACA
Mus musculus (house mouse) is the source of this 3100-nucleotide long non-coding RNA. RefSeq annotates it as predicted gene, 29938. NCBI's taxonomy places the organism in Eukaryota, Metazoa, Chordata, Mammalia, Rodentia, Muridae. The transcript has 3 exons. The record is from RefSeq and is a predicted model, not a curated record.